Molecule: long non-coding RNA, 524 nt
Filed under: Vitis vinifera (wine grape)
Lineage: Eukaryota; Viridiplantae; Streptophyta; Magnoliopsida; Vitales; Vitaceae
Description: long non-coding RNA (VVIN_LNC000928)
Source: RNAcentral
GUGCACCGUGACCUAAAACCAGCCAACAUCCUGCUGGACCGCAACUACGUAAGCAAGAUUAGUGACGUUGGGUUGGCCAGGCUGGUUCCCCCAUCUGUAGCUGACAAUGUGACCCAGUAUCGGAUGACAUCAACAGCUGGGACUUUCUGCUAUAUAGAUCCAGAGUAUCAGCAAACAGGCAUGCUGGGCAUAAAAUCUGAUGUCUACUCCCUUGGCAUCAUGCUUCUACAGAUAAUAACAGCCAAGCCACCAAUGGGGUUGACUCACCUUGUUGAAAGAGCUAUUGAAAAAGAUACAUUUGAAGAGAUGCUGGAUCCAGUUGUGCCUGAUUGGCCACUUGAAGAGGCAUUGAGCUUCGCCAAGAUAGCCCUCCAGUGUGCAGAACUAAGGCGGAAAGACAGACCUGAUCUUGGCAAGGCUGUGUUACCAGAACUCAACAGAUUGAGAGAGCUUUCAGAGGAACAUUUGGACCCAACUAUGAUGGGUGGCAGUCAGUACCACUCUACCAACCACAGCCAAGUUUC